This 82-nucleotide small RNA is filed under the name Flavobacterium aquidurense. Its description in RNAcentral is "Flavo-1 RNA". It matches the Rfam family "Flavo-1 RNA". Lineage: Bacteria; Pseudomonadati; Bacteroidota; Flavobacteriia; Flavobacteriales; Flavobacteriaceae. The record is from RNAcentral.
GCCUAGCCCCGAUAGUAGAGGAAAUCCUUUUAUAUUUUUUCUUUAAAAAUAUAAAAGAUUGUAACGAAUAGCGGGAACCAGC